RNAcentral lists this ribosomal RNA (1141 nucleotides) under Acinetobacter baumannii. Its description in RNAcentral is "partial 23S ribosomal RNA". It matches the Rfam family "Bacterial large subunit ribosomal RNA", at positions 1 to 1192 of the family's 2925-position model. Lineage: Bacteria; Pseudomonadati; Pseudomonadota; Gammaproteobacteria; Moraxellales; Moraxellaceae. The record is from RNAcentral.
AGUCAAGUAAUUAAGUGCAUGUGGUGGAUGCCUUGGCAGUCAGAGGCGAUGAAAGACGUGAUAGCCUGCGAAAAGCUCCGGGGAGGCGGCAAAUAUCCUUUGAUCCGGAGAUGUCUGAAUGGGGGAACCCACCUACUUUAAGGUAGGUAUUGCAACAUGAAUACAUAGUGUUGCAAGGCGAACGAGGGGAAGUGAAACAUCUCAGUACCCUUAGGAAAAGAAAUCAAUUGAGAUUCCCUCAGUAGCGGCGAGCGAACGGGGAUCAGCCCAUUAAGUUAUGUGUGUUUUAGUGGAACGCUCUGGGAAGUGCGAACGUAGAGGGUGAUAUUCCCGUACACGAAAGGGCACACAUAAUGAUGACGAGUAGGGCGAGGCACGUGAAACCUUGUCUGAAUAUGGGGGGACCAUCCUCCAAGGCUAAAUACUCCUGACUGACCGAUAGUGAACCAGUACCGUGAGGGAAAGGCGAAAAGAACCCCUGUGAGGGGAGUGAAAUAGAUCCUGAAACCGCAUGCAUACAAGCAGUGGGAGCACCUUCGUGGUGUGACUGCGUACCUUUUGUAUAAUGGGUCAGCGACUUAUAUUCAGUAGCAAGGUUAACCGUAUAGGGGAGCCGUAGAGAAAUCGAGUCUUAAUAGGGCGUUUAGUUGCUGGGUAUAGACCCGAAACCAGGCGAUCUAUCCAUGAGCAGGUUGAAGGUUGGGUAACACUAACUGGAGGACCGAACCCACUGUCGUUGAAAAGCCAGGGGAUGACUUGUGGAUAGGGGUGAAAGGCUAAUCAAGCCUGGUGAUAGCUGGUUCUCCCCGAAAGCUAUUUAGGUAGCGCCUCGGACGAAUACCAUAGGGGGUAGAGCACUGUUUCGGCUAGGGGGUCAUCCCGACUUACCAAACCGAUGCAAACUCCGAAUACCUAUGAGUACUAUCCGGGAGACAGACUGCGGGUGCUAACGUCCGUAGUCAAGAGGAAAACAAUCCAGACCGCCAGCUAAGGCCCCAAAAUCAUAGUUAAGUGGGAAACGAUGUGGGAAGGCAUAGACAGCUAGGAGGUUGGCUUAGAAGCAGCCACCCUUUAAAGAAAGCGUAAUAGCUCACUAGUCGAGUCGGCCUGCGCGGAAGAUGUAACGGGGCUAAAACUAUGU